CGGGGUGAGUAACGCGUGGGCAACCUGCCUCAUACAGGGGGAUAGCAUCGGGAAACUGGUGGUAAAACCGCAUAAGCGCACGAAGACGCAUGUUUUAGUGUGAAAAGGAGAAAUCUGGUAUGAGAUGGACCCGCGUCUGAUUAGCUAGUUGGAGUGGUAAAAGCACACCAAGGCGACGAUCAGUAGCCGGCCUGAGAGGGUGGACGGCCACAUUGGGACUGAGACACGGCCCAGACUCCUACGGGAGGCAGCAG
This 254-nucleotide ribosomal RNA is filed under the name uncultured bacterium. Its description in RNAcentral is "partial 16S ribosomal RNA". It matches the Rfam family "Bacterial small subunit ribosomal RNA", at positions 100 to 354 of the family's 1533-position model. The record is from RNAcentral.